Molecule: transfer RNA, 73 nt
Filed under: Marmota monax (woodchuck)
Lineage: Eukaryota; Metazoa; Chordata; Mammalia; Rodentia; Sciuridae
Description: tRNA.Ala
Source: RNAcentral
GGGGAUGUGGCUCAAGCAGUAGCACGCUCACGCCUGGCAUGCGUGUGGCCUGGGUUCAAUCCUCAGCACCACA